CACGUAGGAGGCAAGCGUUAUUCGGAUUUACUGGGCGUAAAGCGCGUGCAGGCGGCUCGAUAAGUUGGAUGUGAAAGCUCCUGGCUUAACUGGGAGAGGUCGUUCAAUACUGUCGGGCUAGAGGAUGAGAGAGGGAGGUGGAAUUCCGGGUGUAGUGGUGGAAUGCGUAGAUAUUCGGAGGAACACCAGUGGCGAAAGCGGCCUCCUGGCUCAUAACUGACGCUAAGACGCGAAAGCUAGGGUAGCAAACAGG
Molecule: ribosomal RNA, 253 nt
Filed under: uncultured bacterium
Lineage: Bacteria
Description: partial 16S ribosomal RNA
Rfam family: Bacterial small subunit ribosomal RNA
Source: RNAcentral